UNUGCUGGAACUUAACUGACGCUAAUGCGUGAAAGCGUGGGGAGCAAACAGGAUUAGAUACCCUGGUAGUNCACGCCCUAAACGAUGUAUACCGGUUGUUGCUGUGCUAGUCACGGCAGUAAUCCACCUAACGGAUUAAGUAUACCGCCUGGGGAGUACGGUCGCAUGAUUAAAACUCAAAGGAAUAGACGGGGACCCGCACAAGCGGUGGAGCAUGUGGUUUAAUUCGAAGAUACGCGAAGAACCUUACCCGGACUUGAUAUCUAACAAAUCAUCCAGAGAUGGAAGAGUGUCUGCUUGCAGAAAUGUUAAGACAGGUGCUGCACGGCUGUCGUCAGCUCGUGUCGUGAGAUGUUGGGUUAAGUCCCGCAACGAGCGCAACCCACGUCAUUAGUUGCUAACGGUUCGGCCGAGCACUCUAAUGAGACUGCCUUCGUAAGGAGGAGGAAGGUGUGGACGACGUCAAGUCAUCAUGGCCCUUAUGUCCGGGGCGACACACGUGCUACAAUGGCAUAUACAAUAAGACGCAAUAUCGUAAGAUGGAGCAAAUCUAAAAAAUAUGUCCCAGUUCGGAUUGGAGUCUGCAACUCGACUCCAUGAAGCCGGAAUCGCUAGUAAUCGUAGAUCAGCCAUGCUACGGUGAAUACGUUCCCGGGUCUUGUACUCACCGCCCGUCACACCAUGGGAGUUGAUUUCACUCGA
RNAcentral lists this ribosomal RNA (702 nucleotides) under uncultured bacterium. Its description in RNAcentral is "bacterial SSU rRNA". It matches the Rfam family "Bacterial small subunit ribosomal RNA", at positions 725 to 1424 of the family's 1533-position model. The record is from RNAcentral.